AAGAGUGAACUAGCUAACUGAAAUCAUAUAAUCCACUCUGUUGGUAAAUAUGAUAACGUAAGGGAAAAAAAUGAUAUUACCUUACUAUUAGUGUUGUCCAAAACUGGUGCCAGAAGACUCGGUAAGGCCAGAGACGCAAACGUUAGUCGUCCUAAUCAGGCGUAAAGGGUUUGUAGGCAGCUUUAAAAUUUUUAUCUUAAAAAAUAGCUCUUUAAGUAAAAUUAUAAAAAAAUUAUAAUAAUAUUUAUUGAAAAAAGAAAAAAUUAAUUAAAGCUAGAAUCAUAAAGAGGAUAAGCCAAAUAAUACUUAGUGUAGGGAUUAAAUCUUUAGAUACUAAGGGGAAUACUAAAGGUGAAAGCUUUUUAUCUAAUAAUGAUUGACGCUGAGAAACGAAGGUGAGAAUAGGAAAUAGGAUUAGAUACCCAGAUACCUCUCACUGUCAACGAUGAAUGGUAGUUAUUAGUUAAAUUAAACUAGUCACGAUGUUAACACGAUAACCAUUCCGCCUUGCGAGUACGGUUGCAAAACUGAAACCAAAAAAAUUAGUCGGUCUCGAAGCAAACGGAGUGAAGCUUGUUAUUUAAUUCGAUAAUCC
Molecule: ribosomal RNA, 595 nt
Filed under: Rhodophana nitellina
Lineage: Eukaryota; Fungi; Basidiomycota; Agaricomycetes; Agaricales; Entolomataceae
Description: partial small subunit ribosomal RNA
Rfam family: Bacterial small subunit ribosomal RNA
Source: RNAcentral